RNA transcript from Vespula vulgaris, 6893 nucleotides. It is a transcript of the gene named dipeptidase 1, with no coding region annotated. NCBI's taxonomy places the organism in Eukaryota, Metazoa, Arthropoda, Insecta, Hymenoptera, Vespidae. The transcript has 11 exons. The record is from RefSeq and is a predicted model, not a curated record.
CUACGUACGUUUUCGUCAGUCGGGCCUUCAACUCCGAACCGCGUAGAACGAAUCAACCGACGCGCUGCGUGAGAUGAAACAAGUAGAUCGGCGAUAAAUUUAUAUCCGUUCGUAAUAAAUUCGGGGAAAAAAGAGAAACGUGAAACAGGCAAAAACGAUCCAUUACUUGAUGACGUCCCGAAAAAAGUCACCGAUCGACGGUGUCGUUCACCUUCGUAUGUGUAAUUAAUCGCGAAAUUUAAUCGAGUACCGAAUUUAUACCAACGGCAGUACGAUCGAUCUCCCUGCGGGUUAACGAUCACCGACUACCAAAGAUGAUGCGGAAAAUCGCACGUCAAGAGAAACGAGGAACGAGAAGAAGAGCACGUUCCGAGAGAGAAGAAGAAUAAUAAGGAGGAUAUCAUUUUUCUCGUGGAGUUUCAAAGCAUGAGAAGAGACUGUUCUUUACUCGGCAUUACUAGUUCGUACCGAUAAAUCGAGAAAGAUAAAGGAAAAAAAAGAAAAAGGAAAAAGAAAAGAAAAGAAAACAGAAAGAAAAAGUAAGAAAAAUGAGGAUAACGAUUUGGCUGAGACAGUUCUUGAUCGAUCGAUUUACUUCUACUUUAAGCUACCCUUAAUUUUCCUAAUAAUAGCGUUUUCUUGGGUAUAUAUAUAUAUAUACAUAUAUGGAUGUGCAUGUAUACAUCUAUAUAUUGUACACAUAUGUACAGAAAAAGUGAGAAAGAAGGAGAGAGAGAGAAAGGAAAAUAUAAGAUCCAAUACGUUUCGACGACGAUCUUCUUUGAAACUCCAUAAAAGGAUGCAAAUUAAAGAUUCCUUUCAGUCUCCCCGAAUCUUGAAAUUGUGCAUUCGAAAGGGUAAAGAGAAACGGGAAAGAUAAAGACGAGAUGGAGUAGGAUGUGUGAGGGAACAGAAUAAUCCUCGAAAGUGGACCGCGAGAUAACGGUGCUUUGGAUUGAAGAAGAAGAUAUUGGAUCGCGGUAUCGAAAUAAAUCUCUCGAGGCAAAGUUCGAUGGAGAGUUUCAAAAGCUGAGAGAGAGAAAGAGAGACAAAAGAGGAAGAUAUAAGAAUAGAAAGAGAAAAAAGAAAGGAAGGAAGGAAGGAAGGAAGGAAAGAAAAAAGAAAGAGAAAGGAUAACAGUGUCAACAAAGAAGAAACGAAUCGAAAGGGAUGACUUUUUAAGGUUAAUCCUCCUGGAAAAGAGAUAGAAAGAAAGAAAGAGGAUACGAAAAGUACAUCGACGAAUCUAGCGUGGCGCUAGAAAAAAAGUGGUCCUGUGAGUGUUGGAAGUGAGAAAUCGAGGACAACGCUCUGGAUACGUGCGAAGACGAAUGCCACGGAGAUAAAGAGGACAUGAGAAGAAUGGCUAACGUUGAUCUCUGAAUCUUGUUAUCUUCGAACUAAUAAGAAAAAAGUAAAGAAGAGGAGAAGAAGAAGAAGAAGAAGAAAAGAAAGAACAACAAGUAGAAGAAGGAUCAAGCAAGUGUUAAAAAUACGAGUGAAGAAGAAAAGUACAUUUUUAUAUUAGUUUUUUUCGAAGGAUGAUUUCGUAAUUUGUGAUUUUUUGUUUCGUUUUUUGGAAGAAAGAAAGGAUAAAAAAGAAGAAAUAGUGCAAGGAAAGAAGGAUAAAAGAGAUUAUUUUCUUGGAAGAAAAAGAAGUAGAAGAGAAGAAAGAGAGAAAGAGAGAGAGAGCUGGUGAGUCGACGGUGAUGGCAUGAGGACUUUAGUAAGGACGGACUGUGGGUCCAGCGAGGAGGAGGAUGAGGAUGGUGGUGGGCGUGAUGGUUCUGGGUCAGCUCCUGACGAGGAUCCUGCUCGCAGCUCACGCUGGAGACCGACUUGCAGCCGCUCGAAGGAUACUCAGGGAUGUUCCGCUAAUCGACGGGCACAACGACUUACCCUGGAAUAUACGCAAGUUCCUAAAGAAUCAGCUACGAGGAUUCAGAUUUGAUGAUCUCAGUGACAUCCGUCCUUGGUCGGGCAACGCCUGGAGUCAUACAGAUCUAAGGAGAUUGAGAAAGGGGAUGGUCGCCGCUCAGUUUUGGUCAGCGUACACGCCCUGUCCAUCCCAAUAUCACGACUCCGUUCAACUCGCUUUGGAACAGAUUGACGUGAUUCGUCGGUUGGUCAACAAACAUCCCGAAAGUAUGAUCCUCGUUACGACGGCCGAAGGGAUCGAGAGAGCACACAAGGAGGGUAGAUUAGCGAGUCUUAUAGGGGUCGAAGGGGGACACGCCAUCGGCACGAGUUUGGCGGUCCUGAGGAUGCUCUACGAGCUCGGUGCCAGAUAUCUAACGUUAACUCACACGUGCCAUACGCCUUGGGCAGACUGCAGCACGGCGGAUGAACCCGGUCAAGUGCCUCACGUCGGUGGUCUCUCCAACUUCGGUAAGAGCAUCGUACUCGAGAUGAAUCGACUGGGGAUGAUGGUGGAUCUAUCGCACGUUUCGGUACCCACCAUGCUGGACGCAAUGGCAAGUUCGAAAGCGCCGGUCAUUUUCAGCCAUAGCAGCGCUCACGCUCUCUGCAAUUCCUCGCGAAAUGUGCCUGAUCACGCGCUAAAACAUUUGGCGCGGACCGGUGGUAUAGUUAUGGUAUCCUUCUACCCCCCUUUUAUAAGCUGCAGCGAGACGUCGACUUUGGAAGAUGUCGUUGCACACAUUAACCACAUUCGUAAAGUCGCCGGUGUGGAUCACAUUGGAAUCGGAGCCGGCUACGACGGCAUUAAUUUAAAAACGACACGUUGAUCUUUGCGGGUAGAAUAUCAACAUUUCACGACGACACUAAAUCCUUACGAAGCACGUGUAAAGCUUUCUUCGUAAGACGAUUGCUGCUGCAAACACUUGCAAAAAUCAACCUAAACGAUCUUCUUAUAUGUAUGUAUGUAUGUAUGUAUGUAUGUAUAUACGUAUGUAUAUAUGUACAUACGUAAAUAUACAGUUUGAUGAUCAAACGAUAGCUUGAGAUUCUGUAAGCGUCGAACACGUUUGUCGUACGUUCGCAUACUUACCACGUCUUUUGAUCGUAUCGUACAUAUAUAUAAACGUAACACUGGUUACGUGUGAAUGCUUUACAAUAGUAAGACGUUUGCUCUAACAUUCUACAAUUUAAAGUUCAAUGUUAAUUCUGGAUAGAGAAGUAUCCUAUCAAGAUUAUGGAGAAACCAAAAUUUCCAUUUUAAUCCUUUUUAAAUUCCUUUUCUCAAUAUAAGUUUCAUUUUAUCAUUUUGGUAAGUAAAUAAUAAAGUUUAUAUAAUUUAUUACGAUUUUAAUUUAGUAUGAAUUUUUCGUAUGAAUUUAAUUCGCCAUUUGAAUUUAAAAGGGCCGACAAAAAAAGAUCCGAUCAUCGUGAAAAAUAUAGUUCCCAAUUUGUUUCUGCAUACUUCUGCAUACUUAUUAACGAGCGCUCGUAACAAAAAUACUAUAAUACGAAUGAAUUCAAAAGUACGCUCGUAGCUUGAUAAUCGCGUUAACAGGAUAUGAUACGUUCGUAGAAUAAAAAGAGACAAAGAGAAAAAUUAUGGAUAUACGAAAUGAGAAUCUCUCUCUCUCUUUUUUGCUGAAAAAAAAUAUUAUAAAAAAAAAAAGAAAAAAAGAAGAGAGAGGAAAUAACGAAAAAAAAAAGAACGUGAAGUAGGUGGAAGGUAAAGCCCACGUGCUCUAUUAUUGCUUUUCGUUGUGUGAAAACGUCGUAAUUUCAAAUAUUUCUACGCACGGUUUUAUUUCGUCGAGCUACCGGGCCGGACACGCUACGAAUUUCAAUGGGAAUCGGAAAGGAAAAGCAAGAGAGCUCAUGGAAAAAUUCACGACAGAGAGAAAGAGAAAGAGAUGGAGGGGGAAGGAGUAAAACAAAGGGAUAUACGAAAGAGAAAAGAACAGAAAAGAAAAGAAAAGAGAAAAAAGAAAAAGAGGGUGGGUUGGUUAUGUGCCGUACGUGACACUAUUUCGUUUCCUCUACCCCAUCGUGCCACGACUUAUCGUUCCUCGUGUAGUUUGUCAAAUCAAGAAGCUCGCACAUUUCUGUUUACUCUUCCCCGAAGCGAGUUAAAAGCGUGGAACAGUUUUAAAACGGAGGAAUCGAACGCGAAAACGACUAUAUAGAAGGGUAUGUGUCGAGUCCUCCGGGCGGUAACGCUUUUCACCCUUUUGUUGUUGCGAUAGGUAUCGGGAUAUUCGAUUGAAAGGGUACGAAAAAUUCGGAAAAGCUGAAUGACGGGAAAAAUAGAGAAUGACAAGCUCGAAGAGCAACAAAGUUUGUCGAUGUUGUUUUCUAUUGAGGCACAAGAGUAACAGGAAAAAGGAUAGAAAUGUAAAAGAAAGAAAUAGAAAAAAAGAAUAAAAGAAGGACGGGAAGAAAGGAAGGAAGGAAGGAAGGAAAGAGGGAAAGAAGAAAGAGAAAAAGAAAGAGACGGAAAAAUAAUACGAAAGAAACGUUGUUUUAACAAUAAUAAAAAAUAAUAGAAACGGAAACGUUCUCCUAUGUUACCCGAUCGUAUAGUUUUUCGUUUAGAUAUAGCUAUAUCGGUAUUCAUGAUUUUAAUACAUUUUUUAAACGAAUGAACGAACGAGCUUUCGAAAACGCUAUAUAGAACUAUCACAAAGGAUGUAUACGAUGUUAAACGAUUAUUCUCUCACAGGCCACAGGCGUAUAGAUGGAUUUCACUUUGACGUAUUUCACUUUGCAUCGUCGAAUUUCUAUACCUUCUUUUCGUAAUAAUAAAAAAAAAAGUAAAAAAGAAUAAAACAAAAAAAUAAAAAAAAUAAAAAAAAAGGUACGAACUGUGUGAAUGGAGGGAUGCUUCAAAAAGGGUGACGACCACGAUUGGUUCGGUAGCGACUUUAUUGCACGUUAUUUACGGUCAAUGGGACAAAUGUUUCUGUCAGAGAUAAAACUGAAUAUCCGACAAGAUUUUAAAGCACGUAUGAAACGUUGCGGUUUAUUCAUUAUCGCUUUCGCAUUAAUAGUAUUUAUGUAUGUACAUCGGUGAUUAUUAAUGAACGUUAUUACCGAAAAAUUGUUGUUAAAAAGAUGAUCUCUUUUUAUUUAAUUUAUAGGAAAACGUAAAACUGAACGUGUUCAUAAAAAUGUAUUGUAAUGAAUUUUUAAAUAAUCCUUAUUGGAAAAAGAAAAUUACAAGAAACUCUUGCCCUUUAAAAUAAUUUUUCUUUCUUUUUUUUUAAGAAAAAUUCUCUCGUGUAAAUAAAAAAUAUUUACAUUAAUAUACUAACCUAUAUAAUUUCUAAAUUCAGAAGGAGCAGCGACCUACAUAAGUUCUUGGAAUUUAUGUCGGUCACGCGACGAAAACCAUUUUUUGUCUCUACUACAGCACCCAUUACUACUACCAACAGGUGUACUACUACUAUACGAAAUAUGAAUGAAAAUAUUUCAAAGGCAAUAUCCUCGCAAGCGAAAGUCAUAGAGAGAGUCUAAACAAAGAACGUUUUAAAGAAGAAAGCUCAGUCUUUUUCUUCCACCUACGCUGACAACGUCGACGUAAUAAAAAUAAUUUCUUUCGAACCUAUGAGUUAUCAACGAUUAAAUGCAAUUUACGAACGAAACAAGGUAUUAAAGAAAAAAGAAAGAAAAAAAAGGAAGAAGAAAAGGUACAAAAUAUGUAAAAAGUUCGAAAAACUUGUUUCAGUUUGUAAAGCACUUGUCGCUUUAUCUCACAUUUCCGCGGAAAAUGUCGAAAAACGUCGGAUUUACCUAUAUGAGCGCUCGAACCGAUAAUUUUCAUGCAGGACGAAACGGACUUUUUUGCGAGACUGAAACUUUCAAAACCGAGGAACGUUUUCAUUAAUCCUACUCUUCUUUUUUUAUUCUUUCCUCUCUCUCUUUCUCUCUCUAACACGCAAAACGAUAGUACUUUCCUUCUUCACCGCACAUACACGUGCGAGCUUUUUAAAAUCCGAGACAUGAAUAUCGAAUGUCCUCGAUCUUGAGAAAAGAAGACGAAACGAUAACAAUCAUAUAGGACAGAUAAGAGAUAGAAAAAGUGGGAAGAAAGAGAGAGAGAGAGAGAAGAAAAAGAGGUAGAGGAUAUUUCGUGCCGAGAAUGUGUCCCAUGGGAAUCUCAAUGGAGAUUUGGCUACGAGACGAAAACAAUGCAUAGUCUGGCGUUUCUCAUCUCGUUCUACAUAUUUUGCGAAAGGAAUGGAACUUUAAUAUCGGUUCUGACGUUUUUCCUCGGUUAAAAUGAAACACCUGGCGAUAGAAACAUUACACGAAUAAUGUAGACUCCGUAGUUAGACAAGAGAUAUAGGUGUAUUCACAUAACAUAUGGGUUUUAAUAACAUACGAUAUAAACAAACGAAAAGAUUUACUCGAUCGAUCAGUAUUUCGAUUACUCGAUAAUGCAACAAGUGCAAUGAAUACAACUUAGUACCUUCUUAAGAAAGAAAAUUUCAUCACUUAAAUAACUAUUGAAACGAUGAAAGCUUGGGAAGCAUUGAAAGGCUGCAUUUAAUUAUUUCAAGCAACGAAAUUGGAUCGUCAGGUAAAAAGAAAAGAAGGCAAGGAGAUGAAGAAAAAAAAAGAAAAAAGAAGAGGCGAAAGGAAAAAGACCAAAAGAAAAAAAAGGUGGUUUUACGCUGGCUAGGUUGGCCAAUAAGCUUUUACGUGAGAUUAAAAUUCAUAUUACUAUACGUAGAAAGAAAGAGAAAGAGAAAGAGAAAGAUAGAGAGAGAGAGGGAGAGGGAGAGAGAGAGAGUGAGGGAAAGGCUUCAACCGCAUCCUAUUCGGCUCGCUUACGCUUAAAACGACACCGGCAGGUCUCGAAGACGUGAGCAAAUACCCAGAGUUAUUCGCGGAAUUGUUAGUGCGCGGGUGGUCAGAGAGAGAUAUCCAGAAACUCGCUGGACUGAAUCUCAUCCGAGUCUUCAAGGCGGUCGAAC